This 253-nucleotide ribosomal RNA is filed under the name uncultured bacterium. RNAcentral's name for it is "partial 16S ribosomal RNA". It matches the Rfam family "Bacterial small subunit ribosomal RNA", at positions 524 to 776 of the family's 1533-position model. The record is from RNAcentral.
GACAGAGGGUGCAAACGUUGUCCGGAAUUACUGGGCGUAAAGCGCGUGUAGGCGGAUGGGCAAGUCUGCUGUGAAAGCUCCUGGCUUAACCGGGAGUGGUCGGUGGAAACUGCCAAUCUGGAGGACGGUAGAGGUAGGUAGAAUUCCCGGUGUAGAGGUGAAAUUCGUAGAUAUCGGGAGGAACACCGGUGGCGAAGGCGGCGACCUGGGUCGAUACUGACGCUGAGGUGCGAAAGCGUGGGGAGCAAACAGG